This 253-nucleotide ribosomal RNA is filed under the name uncultured bacterium. RNAcentral describes it as "partial 16S ribosomal RNA". It matches the Rfam family "Bacterial small subunit ribosomal RNA", at positions 524 to 776 of the family's 1533-position model. The record is from RNAcentral.
UACGGAGGGGGCUAGCGUUGUUCGGAAUUACUGGGCGUAAAGGGCGCGUAGGCGGCCUUCUAAGUCGGACGUGAAAUCCCUCGGCUCAACCGAGGAACUGCGUCUGAUACUGGAAGGCUUGAAUCCGGGAGAGGGAUGUGGAAUUCCAGGUGUAGCGGUGAAAUGCGUAGAUAUCUGGAGGAACACCGGUGGCGAAGGCGGGUCUCUGGGCCGUAACUGACGCUGAGGAGCGAAAGCGUGGGGAGCGAACAGG